UCAGUUUAAUUUUUCUGAUAGGCGCAUGA
RNAcentral lists this small RNA (29 nucleotides) under Bombyx mori (domestic silkworm). Its description in RNAcentral is "ovarian small RNA-25846". The record is from RNAcentral. Lineage: Eukaryota; Metazoa; Arthropoda; Insecta; Lepidoptera; Bombycidae.